GAGGGUAUAGCUCAGUGAUAGAGUGCAUGAUUGGCAUGCACAAGUUCUGGGUUCAAUCCCCAGUACCUCCA
RNAcentral lists this transfer RNA (71 nucleotides) under Camelus dromedarius (Arabian camel). It matches the Rfam family "tRNA". From Rfam's summary of the family: Transfer RNA (tRNA) molecules are approximately 80 nucleotides in length. Their secondary structure includes four short double-helical elements and three loops (D, anti-codon, and T loops). Further hydrogen bonds mediate the characteristic L-shaped molecular structure. tRNAs have two regions of fundamental functional importance: the anti-codon, which is responsible for specific mRNA codon recognition, and the 3' end, to which the tRNAs corresponding amino acid is attached (by aminoacyl-tRNA synthetases). tRNAs cope with the degeneracy of the genetic code in two manners: having more than one tRNA (with a specific anti-codon) for a particular amino acid; and 'wobble' base-pairing, i.e. permitting non-standard base-pairing at the 3rd anti-codon position. The record is from Rfam by way of RNAcentral. Lineage: Eukaryota; Metazoa; Chordata; Mammalia; Artiodactyla; Camelidae. RNAcentral also lists the same sequence under 1 other name.